Molecule: long non-coding RNA, 881 nt
Filed under: Mytilus galloprovincialis (Mediterranean mussel)
Lineage: Eukaryota; Metazoa; Mollusca; Bivalvia; Mytilida; Mytilidae
Source: RNAcentral
CUUAAAACUAUUCUUAAGAAUCUUAACUUUAUUAUUUGAUCUGGCUUAUUUCAAAGUAAUUAACUUUUUUGUUAACAAUUUCUUGUAGUCCCACAAGUGUAAAUUUGAAAUCAAUCUAAAAAAAUAGAAGAGCUACAUUUUUUUUAUGAUGUUUAUUAUUAGGCAAAAUAAAUUUGUCGCUGCCUUCUGGCAGGAAAACAAAUAUAGGGGCAAGUAGGUAGAUAGAAUCGUUUUUUUUUUUGUUAAAUGUUUUACUGACUAUACAGACUAUAAAUUAUAUUGGGCCCUUUAUGACUAAAAUUGACAGUAAGUUUGACUAAAAUGUUCAUGAUUUAACUAGUUAGUAUUUUUUGUGUACGGAAACAGAUUUGUUUUGUUGUGGCUUAUUGAAAUUUAAAGUUGUCUCUCGUAUGAAAUUGAAAGAAAUUUCUUUUUAGGAUUAUAAAUUAAAUAUUUCUCAUUAACAGAUCCAAACUUCAUUAAAAUAAACAUCUUAAUAUCAGUUAAAUUAAUAAAUGGCUAUCCUAUUCAAAUCACUGCAUAAGAAUUUAAAAUUUUAAAAUCACUGAUCGUUUAAUGAACUAUUGCAAGUGACCUGCUCUGCCAUGAACAAAUAUCAUAGUAUCUAUAUAUACUUUUGUAAUUUAAAGUCAAAAGUUUUUAAGACAUAUAAGUAGCACCCGAAAGAAUAUAUUCAUGACAAUUCUAUAAAUCUGUUAUCCAUUCUUUUAAGUUUGACAUUAUAACAGUGAAACAUCUAAAAAAAAAAAGGCUCACAUUUUCUUUAUUCUUCAACUUUGAUUCUACCUUACAUUAUCUGAUUAAUCUAUCUUCUGUUAUGUCUUCAAUUUUACAUUUAAUGAAUUAAUUUAUGUUAGGAC